UACGGGGGGGGCAAACGUUAUCCGGAGUUACUGGGCGUAAAGGGCGUGUAGGUGGUAGAGUAAGUCUGGCGUGAAAUUUUUCGGCUUAACCGGGAAAGGUCGUCGGAUACUGCUUAACUAGAGGACGGUAGAGGCGUGUGGAAUUCCGGGUGUAGUGGUGAAAUGCGUAGAGAUCCGGAGGAACACCAGUGGCGAAGGCGACACGCUGGGCCGUACCUGACACUGAUGCGCGACAGCAUGGGGAGCAAACAGG
This 253-nucleotide ribosomal RNA is filed under the name uncultured bacterium. RNAcentral describes it as "partial 16S ribosomal RNA". It matches the Rfam family "Bacterial small subunit ribosomal RNA", at positions 524 to 776 of the family's 1533-position model. The record is from RNAcentral.